This 618-nucleotide ribosomal RNA is filed under the name Lactiplantibacillus plantarum. RNAcentral's name for it is "bacterial SSU rRNA". It matches the Rfam family "Bacterial small subunit ribosomal RNA", at positions 371 to 980 of the family's 1533-position model. Lineage: Bacteria; Bacillati; Bacillota; Bacilli; Lactobacillales; Lactobacillaceae. The record is from RNAcentral.
AUGGACGAAAGUCUGAUGGAGCAACGCCGCGUGAGUGAAGAAGGGUUUCGGCUCGUAAAACUCUGUUGUUAAAGAAGAACAUAUCUGAGAGUAACUGUUCAGGUAUUGACGGUAUUUAACCAGAAAGCCACGGCUAACUACGUGCCAGCAGCCGCGGUAAUACGUAGGUGGCAAGCGUUGUCCGGAUUUAUUGGGCGUAAAGCGAGCGCAGGCGGUUUUUUAAGUCUGAUGUGAAAGCCUUCGGCUUAACCGAAGAAGUGCAUCGGAAACUGGGAAACUUGAGUGCAGAAGAGGACAGUGGAACUCCAUGUGUAGCGGUGAAAUGCGUAGAUAUAUGGAAGAACACCAGUGGCGAAGGCGGCUGUCUGGUCUGUAACUGACGCUGAGGCUCGAGAGUAUGGGUAGCAAACAGGAUUAGAUACCCUGGUAGUCCAUACCGUAAACGAUGAAUGCUAAGUGUUGGAGGGUUUCCGCCCUUCAGUGCUGCAGCUAACGCAUUAAGCAUUCCGCCUGGGGAGUACGGCCGCAAGGCUGAAACUCAAAGGAAUUGACGGGGGCCCGCACAAGCGGUGGAGCAUGUGGUUUAAUUCGAAGCUACGCGAAGAACCUUACCAGGUC